RNAcentral lists this ribosomal RNA (460 nucleotides) under uncultured bacterium. RNAcentral describes it as "bacterial SSU rRNA". It matches the Rfam family "Bacterial small subunit ribosomal RNA", at positions 36 to 518 of the family's 1533-position model. The record is from RNAcentral.
CUGGCGGCGAUGGAUUAGGCAUGCAAGUCGAACGGGAGCAGCAAUGCUCCAGUGGCGCAAGGGUGAGGAACACGUGAACAACCUGCCUUCGAGUUGGGGAUAGCUUCUGGAAACGGGAGAUAAUACCGAAUAACAUCAACGGGUCGCAUGAUCUGUUGAUCAAAGCAGCAAUGCGCUUGAAGAGGGGUUCGCGUCCCAUUAGCUAGUUGGUGAGGUAACGGCCCACCAAGGCGAUGAUGGGUAGCUGGUCUGAGAGGACGAUCAGCCACAUUGGGACUGAGAUACUGCCCAGACUCCUACGGGAGGCUGCAGUCGAGAAUUUUGGGCAAUGGACGAAAGUCUGACCCAGCCAAUGCCGCGUGCGGGAUGAAGGUCUUCGGAUUGUAAACCGCUGUCAAGAGGGACGAAAUAUGACGGUACCUCUGGAGGAAGCCACGGCUAACUACGUGCCAGCCGCUGC